RNAcentral lists this ribosomal RNA (2216 nucleotides) under Listeria monocytogenes. Its description in RNAcentral is "bacterial LSU rRNA". It matches the Rfam family "Bacterial large subunit ribosomal RNA", at positions 1 to 2207 of the family's 2925-position model. The record is from RNAcentral. Lineage: Bacteria; Bacillati; Bacillota; Bacilli; Caryophanales; Listeriaceae.
UUGGUUAAGUUAGAAAGGGCGCACGGUGGAUGCCUUGGCACUAGGAGCCGAAGAAGGACGGGACUAACACCGAUAUGCUUUGGGGAGCUGUACGUAAGCGUUGAUCCAGAGAUUUCCGAAUGGGGGAACCCACUAUCUUUAGUCGGAUAGUAUCCUUACGUGAAUACAUAGCGUAAGGAAGGCAGACCCAGGGAACUGAAACAUCUAAGUACCUGGAGGAAGAGAAAGAAAAAUCGAUUUCCUGAGUAGCGGCGAGCGAAACGGAAAGAGCCCAAACCAAGAAGCUUGCUUCUUGGGGUUGUAGGACACUCUAUACGGAGUUACAAAAGAAAGUUAUAAAUGAAGCGGUCUGGAAAGGCCCGCCAAAGACGGUAACAGCCCGGUAGUUGAAAUGGCUUUCCCUCCAGAGUGGAUCCUGAGUACGGCGGAACACGUGAAAUUCCGUCGGAAUCCGGGAGGACCAUCUCCCAAGGCUAAAUACUCCCUAGUGACCGAUAGUGAACCAGUACCGUGAGGGAAAGGUGAAAAGCACCCCGGAAGGGGAGUGAAACAGUUCCUGAAACCGUGUGCCUACAAGUAGUUAGAGCCCGUUAAUGGGUGAUAGCGUGCCUUUUGUAGAAUGAACCGGCGAGUUACGAUUUGUUGCAAGGUUAAGCGGAAAAAGCGGAGCCGUAGCGAAAGCGAGUCUGAAUAGGGCGCAUAAGUAACAGGUCGUAGACCCGAAACCAGGUGAUCUACCCAUGUCCAGGAUGAAGGUAAGGUAAUACUUACUGGAGGUCCGAACCCACGCACGUUGAAAAGUGCGGGGAUGAGGUGUGGGUAGCGGAGAAAUUCCAAUCGAACUUGGAGAUAGCUGGUUCUCUCCGAAAUAGCUUUAGGGCUAGCCUCGAGGUAAAGAGUCAUGGAGGUAGAGCACUGUUUGGACUAGGGGCCCUUCUCGGGUUACCGAAUUCAGAUAAACUCCGAAUGCCAUGUACUUAUACUCGGGAGUCAGACUGCGAGUGAUAAGAUCCGUAGUCGAAAGGGAAACAGCCCAGACCACCAGUUAAGGUCCCCAAAUAUAUGUUAAGUGGAAAAGGAUGUGGGGUUGCUUAGACAACCAGGAUGUUGGCUUAGAAGCAGCCACCAUUGAAAGAGUGCGUAAUAGCUCACUGGUCGAGUGACCCCGCGCCGAAAAUGUACCGGGGCUAAACAUAUUACCGAAACUGUGGAUGAACCUCUUCGGAGGUUCGUGGUAGGAGAGCGUUCUAAGGGCGGUGAAGUCAGACCGGAAGGACUGGUGGAGCGCUUAGAAGUGAGAAUGCCGGUAUGAGUAGCGAAAGAAGGGUGAGAAUCCCUUCCACCGAAUAUCUAAGGUUUCCUGAGGAAGGCUCGUCCGCUCAGGGUUAGUCGGGACCUAAGCCGAGGCCGAUAGGCGUAGGCGAUGGACAACAGGUAGAGAUUCCUGUACCAGUGCUAAUUGUUUAACCGAUGGGGUGACACAGAAGGAUAGGGAAUCGCACGAAUGGAAAUGUGCGUCCAAGCAGUGAGUGUGAGAAGUAGGCAAAUCCGCUUCUCGCGAAGCAUGAGCUGUGAUGGGGAAGGAAAUUAAGUACGGAAGUUCCUGAUUUCACGCUGUCAAGAAAAGCCUCUAGGAAGAGUAGUACUGCCCGUACCGCAAACCGACACAGGUAGAUGAGGAGAGAAUCCUAAGGUGAGCGAGAGAACUCUCGUUAAGGAACUCGGCAAAAUGACCCCGUAACUUCGGGAGAAGGGGUGCUCUAUUAGGGUGCAAGCCCGAGAGAGCCGCAGUGAAUAGGCCCAGGCGACUGUUUAGCAAAAACACAGGUCUCUGCAAAACCGUAAGGUGACGUAUAGGGGCUGACGCCUGCCCGGUGCUGGAAGGUUAAGAGGAGUGCUUAGCUUCGGCGAAGGUACGAAUUGAAGCCCCAGUAAACGGCGGCCGUAACUAUAACGGUCCUAAGGUAGCGAAAUUCCUUGUCGGGUAAGUUCCGACCCGCACGAAAGGCGCAACGAUCUGGGCACUGUCUCAACGAGAGACUCGGUGAAAUUAUAGUACCUGUGAAGAUGCAGGUUACCCGCGACAGGACGGAAAGACCCCGUGGAGCUUUACUGCAACCUGAUAUGGAAUGUUUGUACCGCUUGUACAGGAUAGGUAGGAGCCGAAGAGACGUGUGCGCUAGCAUACGAGGAGGCAAUGGUGGGAUACUACCCUG